This is a long non-coding RNA of Melanotaenia boesemani (Boeseman's rainbowfish), 890 nucleotides long. RefSeq lists it as uncharacterized. NCBI's taxonomy places the organism in Eukaryota, Metazoa, Chordata, Actinopteri, Atheriniformes, Melanotaeniidae. The record is from RefSeq and is a predicted model, not a curated record. The transcript is spliced from 3 exons.
UACAUCUGAGAUGGUAAAAAUCUUCCAUGUAAACAAACUGUUGUUCAAAUAUUCUGUUUGUUUUCCCAUUUUUUCCACAGACUGAGAACAAAGAUGUAACAUCUGGAGAUGAUGCAGACAGCCUGCAGCAAAAAUCAAACUCUUUACCUUCCAAAUCCUUUAGAAAAACUCUCACUUUCACUUUCAACAAAGAAGAGGUGAUUUUCUCCUCUCAAAGAACAAAGAAUACUGACGGUGGUUAGCAAUACUUUUAAAAUUGAUACAGUUUUAUUUGUUACAGCAGUGUGAUGGGAGCCUUUGUGUCCAUCCAGCUGGAAAAAGCAGGUCUGCGUGAUGAGAUGCUGAAUUUAUUUGUGGAGAGUAAACAGGCCAUGGGAGGUUUAACAAAAACCACGGAGGAAGCAUCAAAGAUCAAAAGAAGACUCAUAAUCGACUUUUUAAGAAAAUUCACAACACAGAUAUCUCAGCACUGUGUGAGAGCCCAGAUUGUUGCAUUUUACUCCAGUUUAACUUUCCUUCUGGGGGACUUACCCUCCAUUCGUCAAUCCCAUUUCACAGCUGGACGAGUCCAAGAGCCAGAGGUCACUUUGGGUUUAAAACCAGACCUCUAUCCUGACUCCAGGUAUGAACAGAUUUAAUAAUUACUGGCAGAACGGUAUGAUUAUCACAUGGAAAAAAAGCCAAACUUAACACUUCAAACUACACAUAAACAGAUAUUUUGGGGAACACUUACUUGGUAAUUUUGAAAUUAGAUGCGUGCAGCACAUUAACAAUUUUGGCAAAUUCUCCAAAUUCUUGUCUUUUCUCAAUCUAAAGCUAAAAAAUAUUUUAACUUUACCAUCUCAGUUGUGUAAUAUGAUUUAAAUAUGUGGAGAAUCUGACAAAAUCUC